Molecule: ribosomal RNA, 407 nt
Filed under: uncultured bacterium
Lineage: Bacteria
Description: partial 16S ribosomal RNA
Rfam family: Bacterial small subunit ribosomal RNA
Source: RNAcentral
AUUGAACGCUAGCGGGAUGCCUUACACAUGCAAGUCGAACGGAGUGGCGAACGGGUGAGUAAUGUAUCGGAACGUGACCAGUAGCGGGGGAUAACUACGCGAAAGCGUAGCUACUACCGCAUACUAUUGGAGCGGCCGACAUCGGAUUAGGCAGUUGGUGGGGUAACGGCUCACCAAGGCGACGGUCCGUAGCUGGUUUGACAGGACGACUCGGCAAAAUGGGACUGAGACACGGGCCAGACUCCUACGGGAGGCAUCAGUGGGGAAAUUUGGACAAUGGGGGAAACCCUGAUCCAGCCAUCCCGCGUGAGUGAAGAAGGUUUUCGGAUCGUAAAGCUCUGUUGUUAGAGAAGCGGUAACUAACCAGAAAGGGACGGCUAACUACGUGCCAGCAGCCGCGGUAAUAC